GCAUGAAUGGGGUAGUGGUAACCUGGGUCGUUGCCAUGGUCGUCUUGAUGCUCAUGUGAUUUCGACCCGCCGGGGGUUCAAUUCCCCCUUGAUGCA
Crucibulum laeve is the source of this 96-nucleotide non-coding RNA. Lineage: Eukaryota; Fungi; Basidiomycota; Agaricomycetes; Agaricales; Nidulariaceae. The record is from the annotation of a GenBank genome assembly.